UAAAGCGAUAACAUAAUAGUUGAAAUGCCACUAGCAACCACUUGCAAGAUUCGGAAUUUGGAACCAUAAUAAUAACUUUCCCAACUUUUUUCCUCUGCAUUUCUAAACAAAAAAUUAUGCAUAGGAGUACUGAAUCGUCGGUGUAACUCACAUCAAACUGAAUCAUCACUGUAACUCACACCAAAUCGUGUUACCUCUUGUUAGGCAAACAGGUGUACUGCUAGUUCAAGUAACAGAUUUGUACCUCUUUAACCACGGACAACAGCAGACUCAAACAAAAAAAAUCCCAAGGACAACAGCAGCAACUAAUCUGUCUCAGAAAUCCUUCCUCUCGCACUCAAGCUAAACUGCAGUAGUAGUGCACCAACAACAACUUGACAGUGCCCGAGGAGAGGACUUUUGUUCUUCUUGAACUUCUCAUUUUUUUUCGAUUCUGAACUUGCUGUUGUAAUUUUUUUUGCAACUGCCAGUGCUUGGAGGUCGGCUUCGCUCCAUCAGGUAGCCGCGUCCACCUCCGCACAGGACAGCGAUCAGGGGAGGAAGGAGAGACAGACCUGACAGCAAGUGGGGGAGGAGCCGGAGCAGCGCUACGUCAGGGAUGCAGGGUGAACUAGAACGUGAAGUGCAGAACACAUGAAGAACACUCUAAGUAAUCCAAAUAUCAAUUAGCAGGCCAGGACUAAGCUAGAAGGGAAAACGAACACUCGAAACUAGUAAUGGUGCCAACAUAUUGCGUGCAGACACCAAAAACUAGAGAAGUGGAGAGUGAAGAAGCAGAGAGAAGGCACGGUGGGUAGGAACCUGUAGUGCUGCAUCCGCAUUCAGGGACGGGCCAGGGACGAAGGAGCUCGCUGGAGCAGCACCACCCCAUGCAUGCAAUAUUGAAGCCGGUUGAGAUGAGAUGCGUCCUGGAAGAGCCGCCCUGCUGCUGUGGCACAACUUGGACUGAAGCAACCCACCCAUUUUUUGUUGAUCAUAUGCGAGGGAGGAGAUGAGCAGCAGGAUGAGCCGGGGGCAUCGACCAGGAGGCGGAGGUCCAGUCUGGGUCUGCGGGGGCGGCAACACAUCGGGCGGUGGGUGGCCGUGAUCGACAGCCCGAUCCGUGGUAGUAGAUGACCGGUGCUCUACCUACCGGAGGUCGACGGCCCGGUCACUGGCGAAGGUGGGGGAGACCAGGGGUAGCGCAUUGGGCUAGAAGUGCGUCCUAGAUUAGGGCGCCGUCGUCGGCGGGCAGUGGGAAAGCGGGUUGAUUGGGGCGCAAUCUCCGGUUGGAGGUGGGGCGACGUGGUCGGUCGGGGCGCCGUCUCCGGGUAAGGUGGUGCUGCGCGGUCGGUUGGGCGCCGUCGCCGGCGUGGUCGCGCCGCUGCACGCGGUGUGUGUGUGUGUGUGUAUGUGGGAAGGGGGGGGCUGCGGCGCAGUCGCCGGGUGGUGGUGGGUGCGCCGUUUGGAUAGGGGAGGCUGACCGCGCGGUGGAGGGGAGGGAGUCGGGGUGGAA
This 1495-nucleotide ribosomal RNA is filed under the name Triticum aestivum (bread wheat). RNAcentral's name for it is "partial small subunit ribosomal RNA". Lineage: Eukaryota; Viridiplantae; Streptophyta; Magnoliopsida; Poales; Poaceae. The record is from RNAcentral.